RNAcentral lists this ribosomal RNA (524 nucleotides) under uncultured bacterium. RNAcentral describes it as "partial 16S ribosomal RNA". It matches the Rfam family "Bacterial small subunit ribosomal RNA", at positions 28 to 523 of the family's 1533-position model. The record is from RNAcentral.
GACGAACGCUGGCGGCGUGCUUAACACAUGCAAGUCGAACGAGACGAUUGAAAGCUUGCUUUUAAAAGUCGAGUGGCAAACGGGUGAGUAACGCGUAGACAACCUGCCUUUGAGAUGGGGACAACAGUUCGAAAGGACUGCUAAUACCGAAUGUUGUAUAUUUUCCACAUGGAAGAUAUAUUAAAGAUGGCCUCUAUUUAUAAGCUAUCGCUCAAAGAUGGGUCUGCGUCUGAUUAGCUGGUUGGUGGGGUAACGGCCUACCAAGGCGACGAUCAGUAGCCGGUCUGAGAGGAUGAACGGCCACAUUGGGACUGAGACACGGCCCAGACUCCUACGGGAGGCAGCAGUGGGGAAUCUUCCACAAUGGACGAAAGUCUGAUGGAGCAACGCCGCGUGAGUGAAGAAGGGUUUCGGCUCGUAAAGCUCUGUUGUCGGGGACGAAUGUGCAGUAUUUGAAUAAAGUACUGCAAUGACGGUACCUGACGAGGAAGCCACGGCUAACUACGUGCCAGCCGCCGCCGUAA